AUGGAGUCUCUUGCUCUGUCACCCUGGCUGGAGUACAGUGGAGUGAUCUCAGCUCACUGAAACCUCCGUCUCCCAGGUUCAAGCAAUUCUCCUGCCUCAGCCUCCUGAGUAGCUGGGAUUACAGGGGUGUGCCACCACACCUGGCUAAUUUUUGUAUUUUCAGUAGAGAUGGGUUUUCACCAUGUUGGCCAGGAUGGUCUCGAUCUCUUGACCUCGUGAUCCACCGACCUUGGCCUUCCAAAGUGCUGGGAUUACAGGUGUGAGCCACCGUGCCUGGCAAGCUUAUUUGCAAAGCAUCAUCUAAAACCCUAGAAAGGAGGUGACAUUAUUAUUCCCAUUUUAAAUUUUAUUGUAUGUAUGUAUUUAUUUACUUACUUAUUUACUUACUUUAUUUUUACUUUCCAGACAGGGUCUCUCUUUGUUGCCUAGGCUGGAGUGCAGUGGAACGAACUUGGCUUAUUGAAGCAUUGACCACCUGGACCCAAGUGAUUCUCCUACCUUAGCCUCUUGAAUAGCUGUGACAACAGGUGUGCACUACCACACCCAGAUAAAUUUUGUAAUUUUUAUAGAGAGGGCAUUUGACCAUGUUGCCCAGGCUGGUCUCAAACUCCUGAGCUCAAGUGAUACUCCUGCCUCGGCCUCCCAAAGUGCUGGGAUUACAGAUGAAGAAAAUGAGGCACUGAGAGAUUACAUAACUUCCCUUGAGUCAUAUUUGCUUGUAAGUGGUAAGGCUGGAUGUUGAACCCAGGACAAAGGGUCUCACUCUGUCGCCCAGUCUGGAGUGCAAUGGUGUGAUCACGGUCACUGCAACCUCUGCCUCCCGGGUUCAAGCGAUUCUCCUGCCUCAGCCUCCCAAGUAGCUGGGAUUACAGCGGCUUGCAGUAAACUUCUUGGAGGAGAAUUGGCAUUGCAAGGGUGUUACUGGAGACCUCGGCAAGAAAGUGAAUGCAAAGACAGAUGACCCAGGAACCCGUGAUGGAUAAGGCUCUUGACAGCCAGGACGUGGAAUUACAGGGGGUCUCUUUGAGAGACAAAAUAAAAAAAAUAGCCCAGUAAUCUUCCUUCCACCCUUUUCUCCCAGAUCUAAUUACAGAUGUCUUGACAUUCCUUCUGCAUAGAAUUUCCUUAAAAGAUUUGCCAAGAAGAAACAUUUGGAAACUGUGUUUUAGGUAUAAUCCGUCUGGGAGUCACUCUUGCUCGCUUUGUCGUUAGAUGACAAAACGCUUAAUUACAGCGAGCACAAUGUAUACCACAUUUGGAAAACUGGAUUCUUGACCUAAAUAAUGUACCCCAUACUGACAAUGGCCUUUUGGCAAAACUUGUGUCUCUGAUCUCACAUUAAUUACUACACAAAUAUACUUAUUGUGGGCACCGAGUUUAUGGGAUGGAGUCCUCUUGACACAUGUUCACCAUAAAAACACAUUUUUUUCCCUUCCCCUGACCCUAAGGAAAAGAAAAAAAAAAAGAUUAACAUUUUUCAAGAUGCUGUUUUAGUGACAUGAAAACUGUCUGUUGAGUGUUCACUCGGCUUUUGUUCUUUUUCUUUUCUCCUUUUAUUAAAAAGCCUUUCAAACCAAGCAUUCCUGGUUUGUGAUUCUUUACUUUUGCUUUUAUGCUGAGGGAGAGACAGAUUAGAUUAGAUUAAAGACCAAGGGACACCUCGUGAAAUACAUUCCAUCUAGAGGCAAUUUGGUUGAGAGGGCCAAUUGUGUGUGUGUGUGCCUGUGUGCGUGCAGGCGUGCGUGUUUCUCCUUGUGGCAUACUGGUGGUCUUUUUACAGAUACAGAGUUCUGGUUUUUGGAAAUGCGUUUAUUCCUUUAGCCUUUUUCCCUUCAGAAGCCUGCAGCCUUUGAUUGUGGCCUGACUUUUAGGGGUCUGCGGCAUUUUGGGGGGUAGUAAAUCUUAUUAACUCUUCCCUUUAGUGUCUCGCCAUUCUCAAAAACUUUUACAAAAAGCAGCAACACCGCCCUCACCAAAGACAGAUGAAAGGAGCGGUUUCAAAG
RNAcentral lists this long non-coding RNA (2003 nucleotides) under Homo sapiens (human). RNAcentral describes it as "HSALNT0195315". Lineage: Eukaryota; Metazoa; Chordata; Mammalia; Primates; Hominidae. The record is from RNAcentral.